This is a long non-coding RNA of Pezoporus occidentalis (night parrot), 716 nucleotides long. RefSeq lists it as uncharacterized. The transcript has 2 exons. NCBI's taxonomy places the organism in Eukaryota, Metazoa, Chordata, Aves, Psittaciformes, Psittacidae. The record is from RefSeq and is a predicted model, not a curated record.
GUUUAGGCAAAUUCUGCCUGAUGGUACUGCCGGUGAAAGACUUCUUAAGAUCACACACAACCCCUAGUUCUAGUGACACAUCAACAGCUGGCUUUAUGUGGGGAUGCCCCUGAAGUAGUUGGUCCAUUAUAGCAACAGCAAGAAAAUGCCACUGUUGAGAAAAUGUACAUUAAUUUAUCCUAAUGGAGCCUGGAUGAAGCCCUCACGGAGAAGCAGCGCCCCUCUGAAAACUCUUCAUAUACUACAUCUCAGAUACUACAUCUAUUUUGUACAGUUUAACAGUCCUCAGGAAACUAAAUGCUUCAUGUCACAGCAUUACUACAUGGUGACUGUUUAACCUUGCUCUCUUUUGGCAUGGUCUGCUUUCCUUAAGAAGAUGCCCAGAUGUUGGAUCACAUUACUCCAUCCAUGUGAGGGAUGCCUAUGCCUAUGUCCACUCCUCAGAAGCUGGCAACCCCAGAGACAACUUAGCUAAGCCAGAGCGUGUUUUAGGGACUUUUCAGGUUAAGUAACUAUGAAUCUCUUUGUUAAUGUAAUUCAUACACUUUUCAUCAUUUCUGUACAUUUGUUGUCUUUGAUCAAAAUCCUCAUGUGCGUUUUAAAUUUUAUGGGACCAGUUUGUGUAAGAUUGUCCGUGGUCAUUUGCUAUGAAGGAAAUAUUAAAACUGAGUUAAGCCCUUUAAUACCUGUCCCAGAAUACGGGAACUCUAAAAAUA